Molecule: ribosomal RNA, 253 nt
Filed under: uncultured bacterium
Lineage: Bacteria
Description: partial 16S ribosomal RNA
Rfam family: Bacterial small subunit ribosomal RNA
Source: RNAcentral
UACGUAGGGUGCGAGCGUUGUCCGGAAUUAUUGGGCGUAAAGGGCUCGUAGGCGGUCUGUCGCGUCGGGAGUGAAAACUCAGGGCUUAACCCUGAGCCUGCUUCCGAUACGGGCAGACUAGAGGUAUGCAGGGGAGAACGGAAUUCCUGGUGUAGCGGUGGAAUGCGCAGAUAUCAGGAGGAACACCCGUGGCGAAGGCGGCUCUCUGGGACGGUACUGACGCUGAGACGCGAAAGCGUGGGGAGCGAACAGG